GACGAACGCUGGCGGCGUGCUUAACACAUGCAAGUCGAACGGAAAGGCGCUGCUUUUGCGGGGUGCUUGAGAGGCGAACGGGUGAGUAACACGUGAGUAACCUGCCCUUGACUUUGGGAUAACUUCAGGAAACUGGGGCUAAUACCGGAUAGGAGCUCCUGCGGCAUGGUGGGGGUUGGAAAGUUUCGGCGGUUGGGGAUGGACUCGCGGCUUAUCAGCUUGUUGGUGGGGUAGUGGCUUACCAAGGCUUUGACGGGUAGCCGGCCUGAGAGCGUGCCCGGCCUCAUUAGUACUACGGUACGGCCCAGACUCCUACGGGAGGCAGCAGUGGAGAAUAUUGCGCACUGAGCGGGAGCCUGUUACAGCGCCGCCGCGUGCGGGAUACCGGCCUUCGGGUUAUAAACCGCUUUCGCCUGUGACGAGGCGUGAGUGACGGUACUGGGUAAGGAAGCACCGGCUAACUACGUG
Molecule: ribosomal RNA, 468 nt
Filed under: uncultured bacterium
Lineage: Bacteria
Description: partial 16S ribosomal RNA
Rfam family: Bacterial small subunit ribosomal RNA
Source: RNAcentral